GAAAAAUAAAAAAAUCGAACGAAAAAAAAAUUGGUCAAAGUGCAAGAAGCUUCUUUGCUUUCUGCUUUUUUUGAUUCUGCUAGUGAUUGAAUAGUGAAGCAUUGGUUACCCUGCCUUUUCAUGAUGAACUAUGAAGCUCACUGGAAACCGUAGUUUGCCAUCAAUCGUCUACGUUUUCCAUACAAAACAGCAGCUGCUAUUUGUUUGUCAUAUCCACCGAAUAUAAGAGCUGAUACAGGAGCAUAACCACGGAAGUUCCAGAGCAUGGUUAAUAAAUAUCAGUCCCAAAAAGGAUGCCGGAAGAUAGCAGCCGCAUCAAGCACCGCAAUUAUUACAAUUAGACUAUGAACACCAGUACUCUUUACCAGCAGCAACACUUACGGCAUGCUCAGCGAGUAGCUUUGAAGAGCGCUCAACAACAGGAUAAAAUAAACUCUAAAAUUAAAUUAAAACUAAA
Long non-coding RNA from Armigeres subalbatus, 457 nucleotides. RefSeq lists it as uncharacterized. The record is from RefSeq and is a predicted model, not a curated record. NCBI's taxonomy places the organism in Eukaryota, Metazoa, Arthropoda, Insecta, Diptera, Culicidae. The transcript is spliced from 3 exons.